CAAGCCUGAUGCAGCCAUGCCGCGUGUAUGAAGAAGGCCUUCGGGUUGUAAAGUACUUUCAGCGGGGAGGAAGGUGUUGUGGUUAAUAACCGCAGCAAUUGACGUUACCCGCAGAAGAAGCACCGGCUAACUUCGUGCCAGCAGCCGCGGUAAUACGAAGGGGGCUAGCGUUGUUCGGAUUUACUGGGCGUAAAGUGCACGUAGGCGGACUUUUAAGUCAGGGGUGAAAUCCCGGGGCUCAACCCCGGAACUGCCUUUGAUACUGGAAGUCUUGAGUAUGGUAGAGGUGAGUGGAAUUCCGAGUGUAGAGGUGAAAUUCGUAGAUAUUCGGAGGAACACCAGUGGCGAAGGCGGCUCACUGGACCAUUACUGACGCUGAGGUGCGAAAGCGUGGGGAGCAAACA
This 404-nucleotide ribosomal RNA is filed under the name uncultured Hyphomicrobiales bacterium. RNAcentral's name for it is "bacterial SSU rRNA". It matches the Rfam family "Bacterial small subunit ribosomal RNA", at positions 378 to 774 of the family's 1533-position model. The record is from RNAcentral. Lineage: Bacteria; Pseudomonadati; Pseudomonadota; Alphaproteobacteria; Hyphomicrobiales.